UUAUGGCUCAGGAUGAACGCUGGCGGCGUGCCUAACACAUGCAAGUCGAGCGAUCUUCUCGGAAGAGAGCGGCGGACGGGUGAGUAACGCGUGGGUAACCUGCCCUGUACACACGGAUAACAUACCGAAAGGUAUGCUAAUACGGGAUAACAUACUUUUAUCGCAUGGUAGAAGUAUCAAAGCUCCGGCGGUACAGGAUGGACCCGCGUCUGAUUAGCUAGUUGGUAAGGUAACGGCUUACCAAGGCGACGAUCAGUAGCCGACCUGAGAGGGUGAUCGGCCACAUUGGAACUGAGACACGGUCCAAACUCCUACGGGAGGCAGCAGUGGGGAAUAUUGCACAAUGGGCGAAAGCCUGAUGCAAGCAACGCCGCGUGAGCGAUGAAGGCCUUCGGGUCGUAAAGCUCUGUCCUCAAGGAAGAUAAUGACGGUACUUGAGGAGGAAGCCCCGGCUAACUACGUGCCAGCCGCUGC
Molecule: ribosomal RNA, 474 nt
Filed under: uncultured bacterium
Lineage: Bacteria
Description: bacterial SSU rRNA
Rfam family: Bacterial small subunit ribosomal RNA
Source: RNAcentral